Long non-coding RNA from Helianthus annuus (common sunflower), 1654 nucleotides. RefSeq lists it as uncharacterized. Lineage: Eukaryota; Viridiplantae; Streptophyta; Magnoliopsida; Asterales; Asteraceae. The record is from RefSeq and is a predicted model, not a curated record. The transcript is spliced from 4 exons.
UAAAUGCCACAUAAGAGAGAGAGGGGAUAGCAGAUUUAUUUGAAGGUUGGAAAACCUUUCGGCUGUUAAUUUGAAUAUUCAUAGAUAAACCAUUCAAAAUUGGUACCUCUAAAUUACAUACGACGUCGGAAACCCCUCACUCCACGAUCACUCCGGUGCCGCCGGAAACCCCUCCCUCCACCGCCGGAUCAACGACGUUGCUCGGUCGUUUCAGGCUCUACCAUAGUCUGUCAUCACAGAUCGAAGCCAUUCGUCUCAUUGACUCGACAGUCCUCACUUGCCACUCUGCUCGAAACAGGUAACCUAAUUGGCAACAUUAAUUAUUCCCCCACAUAGAAACACAGAUUGGAUUACACAUUUGUUUUCAUUCCACAACUUCCACUUUUUAUUCACUUUAAAGUACGAUGGGAUGAACAUCCAUCCACCUUGUCUCCUUAAUUUGAUUUCUUGUACACAACACUAUGCUUCUCAUUAGUUUAAAAUUCAUUGAGAAACUAGUUAUUGAAAGUUGCACGCCAGGUGUUCGAUGAAAUGUCGAGAAGAAAAACCAUUUGUUUUAAGGCCGAAUGUCAGUUGUUUACUACAACUGAGUCACAACGGUAACUUUUGGUAUAAAUUGGCUGAUUGAUUUACAGGAUCUACUCUGGUAGACCAAAAUCUGGAUGAUACUGAUAUUAUCUAUAUAUAACAUUUUGUGUCGGACCUUGUGAACAGUACCUCAAUUAGCCAAAAUUUGGAGGUCUUUUACGGUUCUGCCAUUAUGCGUUUUUGGUGCGGUAGAGAGAGGGGACCAGAGAAUAGGUUAUAGAGAGACAAAAGAAAAAUAGAGAGAGAGAGCGUGAACGGAAGCGGAUCCGGCCAUGGCCUGCGGCCGGCCACCCUGUUUCGGUGACCAUCUCCGUCUUCUUCUGCUACCUGUUCCAGCUGCGAUGGGUCUGGAACAAAGGUUAACGUUGACGAUGAACUCAACGGAAGAGACCAUGAUGUUAGCGACGUUAUCGGUAGUGCCUAGGGUUCCAGGAGAACUCCGACGAGUCAGAUCUCCCGUUUUGGUGUAGCUUGGCAAACACUGAGGUUUACCGACAUUGUGGUUAAAUAUGAAGGUUUUCUUAUAAACAUCCAAAAAUUUGACAAAGACUUGUGGUCACGAGCUGAGGGCAAGAAUAAAGGAAAAGUGUACGGGUUAGGCAAUGAUAGUGACCCGUGUGUACAUAGCGGAGAGGACCCGGAGAUUGAAAAGUUUAACUUAGUUAUCAAGGAGCUCGUUAAGGAAAAAGAUGAAGAAAAAGAAAGCACUUGAAGCUAUUUAGCUUCUAGCACUUGAAUUGUAGCUCACAGUUAUUGAAAAGUUUAACUUAGUUAUCAAGGAGCUCGUUAAGGAAAAAGAUGAAGAAAAAGAAAGGUUCAAUGGAAUUAUUGCGGGGUUGUUGGCUGACAAAGAAAAAGAUAAGGUGGAUAAAGAUGCGCUGCUUGAUAGCAUGUCACAAAUUGAAGCUAUGUUAACAGCUACAGUUCGAAGAUAGGCUAUAAACAAUUGGUUUUGAAUGUUUAGAUGUUUAUCUUAUUAAGAUAAUUUUAAUUAGUUUAUAUUUUAGUUGGUAUCUUUUAUACGCUUUUGAAAACAAGGUGUUUUAUAUAAUUUGGGAUUUUAUUA